GGAAAGAUGUAUCCUUCUGACUGAGGGCCACAGAAUGGAAGUUUCCCUGGUUCAGCACCAUUCGGAUCAGCCUCCAGUGGUGGAGCUUCUUAUGGAGCCCCAGCAGCAGUUUAAAGCUGUUUUUUCAGCAGUACAAUCGUCCAUAGGAGUCUGAGGUUCUCUUUUUGGAUCUAAAAGAGACCAGUCAUGUCUCCAAGUUCUCCUGGAGUAGUUUCUACUAAUUAAUAAUCUCAUCAGUCUUAUGGCCUAAAAAUGAAUAUGAUAACCCAAGAAGGAAACAUAGAAGAUAAGAUAAGAAGGAAAGAAAACUAGGACAAACAAGAUCGGAAAGAAAUGAUAAUAAUGUGAACAAUGAAAGGGUACAUUUAUGACAUUUACUGGAGUCCCACCUUCUGUCCCUAAUCAUCACAAGAACUGCCGGCAACACCACCACCAUUUCUUUGCUGAGCCGAUGGGGAACAAUUUGGCUGAAGGACCAUCUAUCUCCUGGGAAGUAGUGGUUCCAUAGGGCAGCUAUCACCAGGUGUUGACAUUCCAUCCUGACUCCUCACUUCAAUGUCUAUCCAUACUAGAGCUGAUCACAAAUUUUCUGAUGAAUAGGUUUUUUAAAUUACUUUUUUGAAUAA
Molecule: long non-coding RNA, 626 nt
Organism: Mauremys mutica (yellowpond turtle)
Lineage: Eukaryota; Metazoa; Chordata; Testudines; Geoemydidae
Exons: 4
Source: RefSeq, a predicted model, not a curated record